RNAcentral lists this ribosomal RNA (496 nucleotides) under uncultured Streptococcus sp. RNAcentral's name for it is "bacterial SSU rRNA". It matches the Rfam family "Bacterial small subunit ribosomal RNA", at positions 29 to 507 of the family's 1533-position model. Lineage: Bacteria; Bacillati; Bacillota; Bacilli; Lactobacillales; Streptococcaceae. The record is from RNAcentral.
ACGAACGCUGGCGGCGUGCCUAAUACAUGCAAGUAGAACGCUGAAGAGAGGAGCUUGCUCUUCUUGGAUGAGUUGCGAACGGGUGAGUAACGCGUAGGUAACCUGCCUUGUAGCGGGGGAUAACUAUUGGAAACGAUAGCUAAUACCGCAUAACAAUGGAUGACACAUGUCAUUUAUUUGAAAGGGGCAAUUGCUCCACUACAAGAUGGACCUGCGUUGUAUUAGCUAGUAGGUGAGGUAAUGGCUCACCUAGGCGACGAUACAUAGCCGACCUGAGAGGGUGAUCGGCCACACUGGGACUGAGACACGGCCCAGACUCCUACGGGAGGCAGCAGUAGGGAAUCUUCGGCAAUGGGGGCAACCCUGACCGAGCAACGCCGCGUGAGUGAAGAAGGUUUUCGGAUCGUAAAGCUCUGUUGUAAGUCAAGAACGGGUGUGAGAGUGGAAAGUUCACACUGUGACGGUAGCCUACCAGAAAGGGACGGCUAACUACGUG